AAUCAACGCUGGCGGCGUGCCUAACACAUGCAAGUCGCACGAGAAAGGGACUUCGGUCCUGAGUACAGUGGCGCACGGGUGAGUAACACGUGAAUCAUCUACCUUCGAGUGGGAAUAACUGAGAGAAAUCUUAGCUAAUACCGCAUAAUACCUACGGGUCAAAGCAGCAAUGCGCUUGAAGAGGAGUUCGCGGCAGAUUAGUUAGUUGGCAGGGUAAUGGCCUACCAAGACGAUGAUCUGUAUCCGGCCUGAGAGGGCGCACGGACACACUGGAACUGAAACACGGUCCAGACUCCUACGGGAGGCAGCAGUGGGGAAUUUUGCGCAAUGGGGGAAACCCUGACGCAGCAACGCCGCGUGGAGGAUGAAAUCCCCUGGGAUGUAAACUCCUUUCGAUCGGGAAGAUAAUGACGUACCGAGAGAAGAGCCCCGGCUAACUUCGUGCCAGCAGCCGC
This 455-nucleotide ribosomal RNA is filed under the name uncultured bacterium. RNAcentral's name for it is "bacterial SSU rRNA". It matches the Rfam family "Bacterial small subunit ribosomal RNA", at positions 32 to 518 of the family's 1533-position model. The record is from RNAcentral.